CAAAAAAACACAUCUGAAAUCUCAAAAGAUCACUGAAAAGAACCCUGUGUAUCUGUUUCGGAUAAUCAACACCUGUUUUCAACUCAGAAAAUAUGCUGCACAAAUCAGUCCAAAUAAAAAAAAUAGCGACUCCAAAGGAAUGCUACAGGAACUGGAAAAUAAUGCUGUAUCUAUUGUAGAAAAGAGCAUGAAAAGCAUAGCACAUUGCAAAUUAAGAAGUUACUUCAAGACAAACGAUGAGUGUAUUUAUUACAUGAAAGUGGCAAUCCAAGAAAAGUGUGCAUCUCUGCCUCAGACCCCCCCGAGAUCGAAAUAGUGCACAGUAUCACUGUGAAAAUAGCUUACGACAGUGUUUCCAAAGUGUACCUAGAAUGCCUGUUGAAGAGCAAGUUCAUAAAGCUACAGAAGCGUUGGAGAAAUGCUGUGGAAAAGAUAAAAGAGGAUGUUCAAUAUUUUAAUGAUGCAUUCUCUGAACUGAAUGGCACUGCUGUCCAGCAGAAGCAGCUUCUUAAAAGAAUGAGUGAAGUUUUGCAUUGCAAUGAUGUAGAAGGACUGAAGAUUAUCUGUAGUCAGUUGUUCAGAGACUUCCCUAAGGACAGUGAGCAGUAUGUACCUGAUCUGCUGCGGUGGAGGAGAGUGUUAUCAGAGCGACAGGUGAGGGAAGUGCUGGACGUGAGCCGGGACCUCAGCCUCAAUCCAAAGCCUAGAUGUUUCACCUGUCCCCCUUUGAUGGGACUUUCUUGUUUUGGUGGUAAAUAGUUUAAGUGAGAACAGCAUGGUAAAAACUGACUAGAUAUCCUUGUUUAGUAGUGUUUUGGGGUUUCAAAUCUUUUUUGAACAUUACUUUUUUGGUGUGUAUUCCCAAGAUAAUCAUUUUGAUAUUUUAUUGAGGUCUGGUACAAUGAUGGAAAUAAAAAAAUAAAGAGAAACAAAGCAGACAAAAAGAGGCUAAUAUGACUGGAAAAGAAACCACUGAACUAUUGAAUUUAUUGAAAGAAAAAAAAUGUUAAUUUGUUUAUUAAAUUAGUUUAAAAACAUUAAAACAUAUAUAUAUAAGUUCAGUACAAGACAAGACAAAGAUCCUUUGUGAUCUCAGAUAUUUGCCCUAUGCAUGGAGCCCUUAGCACAAAGCAUAUGAUUUAAUUCUACAAUAAAAGGUCUUAGAGUUGAAGAUGACAAACGUACGCUUGCAUUGUAUGCAGAGAUCCAGAUAUACACGAUGUUUUCAAGGGUUGGUAAAGGGCUUAUAAGAUAUUAAGAUCUAAUGUAUGCUGAGAUUGAGACCUUUAAGAGCAUAGUGAAAAAAAUAUUCAUUGUCUAGGAAAUUAUUUUCAAAUAAGAAGUUAUUUAAAAGAUUAAAUUAAAAUUCUCUUUAAAAAAAAAGAUUAUUCACCUUUUGUUGUGGUUUAUAAUCAAAGCUAUAGCCUAAAUCCUAAUAAAGUAUUUAAAGA
This is a long non-coding RNA of Labeo rohita (rohu), 1451 nucleotides long. RefSeq lists it as uncharacterized. The transcript is spliced from 6 exons. Lineage: Eukaryota; Metazoa; Chordata; Actinopteri; Cypriniformes; Cyprinidae. The record is from RefSeq and is a predicted model, not a curated record.